CCUUCUGCUGCGUUCUGCAACUUUAAAAGCCUUCCUUGGGGUUCUGAGCAAGGAUGUCUGACUCGAAUGACCUGAGAUUUGGACAUUUUCCCGUUUUCUCUCAAGUGUAGCUUUAAUAUUGUGAGUUUAAAUUCACCAAAAGAGGCCCAGAUAUCAAGUCGAGUGAAUUUCACAGCAUCAUCUUCUGUUUUAAUCGUUUCUGAAGUCAUAUCCUUUAGGGUGAACCCACAACAAUGCAGGUCAGAGAGACUGCGCGCCCUAAAGCAAACCAGUUAAAAUGUCAGGCCAGAUCUUCAAGCUGCAGGAUUGCAAGCAGCUCAUAAACUUCCAGUCCCCAUCCUGAGACAAGGCGUGUGACUUAAGGACCUGCUUGCACUCCCGCUCUCCACACCCUGUCCCCUGCCCGCACCUGCCCAAAUGGCCUCCUUCCUCUAGAACCUGGACGGUGGGGAAGCGUGCUCCUGAUGCCCCGGGGUGGGUGCAGGGCGGGGGACCAGCAAAGGAGACCCAAGGGCGCUAGAACCCGGGAGCACAAACCACCCUUAGAGCCUGAGGGACCCUCAGAUUCGUGGGAGACCACAGGCACCCGCAGAGGCAGUUUUCCUCCCCUGAACAAUGCUAGUUCUUCUCGGCCCCAGGAUCUCCACUAAUGUGUCUUUCCGCUUCCUCACAGGACUCCAAGCUGCCCUCCCCUCUGCCGCAUCUGAGGCUGGAAAAACUUCCUAUAAGAAGAGAAAGCCACCAGUACGAUGUGGCUUGAAGACUCUGGAAAGUCACAGACCAGACCCUGCAGAAGGUUCCUCGUGUGUGCCUGGGCAACCUUGCCUCCAUCCUCUGGCCCCAGUUCCUGCCACUCACGUGCAGUCAGCAAUCUUACAUGAACUCUGCGGUAAUGUCUGAAGAAUCUGGCUCCCAGUGUUUGAUAAUGACGAGAUAUGCAUGACCAAGGAGACUGUGUGAUGUCUGCACAGUUCGAAAGCCCGCAUUCCUGUUACUUUCCAAUCUCAGGUCAGCAUUUUGGAACUUUUCUGCUUUAAUUUUUCCACACACACCUCUCGCUGCCACCACCUACCAAAACAAAGCAAACAGAAAGUUUGAGCAAGAAUUUACAUCUGGGAAAAUGCUUCUACUCAUCAAGAGUGGAAUUCCUUUUUACGCCUAUAAUUGAUUCACAGCUUCAAAAAGCUGUGAAGUCAUACUUUGGUCAUGGAAGUUGCAGGAGACCAUAUUUGCCAACAUUUUAUUUUAAAGAAGGUAUUUAAAACUAUUUUACAUAUUAACCACGAUUUCUAGAAGUGAAGUUAUAAAAAUCAGAAGUUAUAUUUUACCUUUUGAUGAUAAGUGAAAAGAGAUUGCUCCAAGAAUGUUGUUUUCAAUAAAUUCAGUAUAACUGCAACACAAAAAUUCUGCAUACAGGCUUCAUAUACACACAUUAUAAUUUUAUGUAUUUAUCUUGAGAGUUGUAUAAUUAAUUUUUAAAAUGCAACAAAAAAUGUGAGGUUAAGUCUACUUUGCCAAUAAUGGAAGUGUCUCAUAGAUAAUUUUGAAUACAAUUAAAAUUUUGUUUUUAUCCUAAAAGGAACUGUCCUGUUGCUCAUUAUUAGUAUGUUGUCCACUUAUUGUUCUAUUUUUGGCUAAAUUGAAUUUAACUAAAGGAAAAAGAAAAUGUUGUGAAAUACCAAGGAUGAGCCAAGUUUUGUGGGUAAACUAAUUGAGAUGGUUGAUUUUGGUAUUAACUCUUUGGGGAAUAUCACUCUUGUUAAAAUUUAAGUAAGGAAACUAGUAGAAAUAUUUUAUUCUUUAAUCAAACUAUAUGUUUAAAAAAAAAUGCCAAAGAAGAAACUAAAAAAGUAGCACGUAUCCUGUUAAAGAGCCAUCAGCAUCCCAUUGGAAGCUCCAGCACUCUGACUUUGGAUUUGUAGGAUGGUCU
This is a long non-coding RNA of Macaca nemestrina (pig-tailed macaque), 1930 nucleotides long. NCBI's taxonomy places the organism in Eukaryota, Metazoa, Chordata, Mammalia, Primates, Cercopithecidae. The record is from Ensembl.